Molecule: ribosomal RNA, 474 nt
Filed under: uncultured bacterium
Lineage: Bacteria
Description: bacterial SSU rRNA
Rfam family: Bacterial small subunit ribosomal RNA
Source: RNAcentral
ACUCCUACGGGAGGCAGCAGUGGGGAAUAUUGCACAAUGGGGGAAACCCUGAUGCAGCCAUGCCGCGUGUGUGAAGAAGGCCUUCGGGUUGUAAAGCACUUUCAGUAGGAGGAAGGUAGUGUAGUUAACACCUGCAUUAUUUGACGUUACCUACAGAAGAAGCACCGGCUAACUCCGUGCCAGCAGCCGCGGUAAUACGGAGGGUGCGAGCGUUAAUCGGAAUUACUGGGCGUAAAGCGCAUGCAGGCGGCCUGUUAAGUCAGAUGUGAAAGCCCGGGGUCUUAACCUCGGAAUUGCAUUUGAAACUGGCAGGCUAGAGUCUUGUAGAGGGGUUAGAAUUUCAGGUGUAGCGGUGAAAUGCGUAGAGAUCUGAAGGAAUACCGAGUGGCGAAGGCGGCCCCGUGGACAAAGACUGACGCUCAGAUGCGAAAGCGUGGGAGCAAACAGGAUUAGAUACCCCGUGGUAGACUGUCA